GACGAACGCUGGCGGCGUGCCUAACACAUGCAAGUCGAACGGAGAAUUAGCAAUAAUUCUUAGUGGCGAACGGGUGAGUAACGCGUAGACAACCUACCCUUUAGAUGGGGACAACACCGCGAAAGUGGUGCUAAUACCGAAUAUUGCUUGAGAAGCGCAUGCUUCUCAAACUAAAGAUGGCCUCUAUUUAUAAGCUAUCGCUAAAGAAUGGGUCGGGGUCUGAAUAGCUAGUUGGUGAGAUAAAAGCUCACCAAGGCAACGAUCAGUAGCCGGUCUGAGAGGAUGAACGGCCACACUGGGACUGAGACACGGCCCAGACUCCUACGGGAGGCAGCAGUGGGGAAUCUUCCGCAAUGGACGAAAGUCUGACGGAGCAACGCCGCGUGAGUGAUGAAGGUUUUCGGAUCGUAAAACCCUGUUGUUAAGGACGAAUGUAUAGAUUGUGAAUAAUGGUUUAUAAUGACGGUACUUAACGAGGAAGCCACGGCUAACUACGUGCCAGCAGCCGCAGUAA
RNAcentral lists this ribosomal RNA (514 nucleotides) under uncultured bacterium. RNAcentral describes it as "partial 16S ribosomal RNA". It matches the Rfam family "Bacterial small subunit ribosomal RNA", at positions 28 to 523 of the family's 1533-position model. The record is from RNAcentral.